AGGCUCAAAUGCCUCCAAUGUCCUUUUCUACAAAAAGAAUGAAAAUUAAUAUUAAAUAUUUUCUAACCACACAGCAACAGUAAGUGGGGGAACACCAUGAUGUGUGAUCGGAGAUCACUUAAGUUAUUAAACUGUUUUGAGAUUACUUUAAUAAGAGAAUCAAGAAAAUCAGAGUUGGAAGGGUCCUCAAGAGGUCAUCUAGUCCAACCCCCUGCUCAAAGCAGGACCAAUCCCCAGACAGAUUU
Chelonoidis abingdonii (Abingdon island giant tortoise) is the source of this 245-nucleotide non-coding RNA. The record is from RefSeq and is a predicted model, not a curated record. Lineage: Eukaryota; Metazoa; Chordata; Testudines; Testudinidae.